UCCAGGGAAUUACGUGGUUUUGGGUUUGUGAAAUUCCACCACCCUGAGGAUGCUGCAUAUGCUAACCAAGAAAUGAAUCAUCAAGUUAUUUGCAGUCGAGAGAUUACAAUGGUUUUUGCCGAGGAGAAUAGAAAACCCCCACAAGAAAUGCGCUUCAGAACAAGAUCAAGGUACAUACGUACUGUUUUUUACUUAGGCAUGUUAACUUUCAUCAGUUUGAUUUAUACUGCAGUGGCUACAGUAUUCCAGAACUCUAAUAUUUGUGUAGAGCUAGCUUUGUUUAUCAAAUGCUCAGGUUAG
Molecule: ribosomal RNA, 300 nt
Filed under: Triticum aestivum (bread wheat)
Lineage: Eukaryota; Viridiplantae; Streptophyta; Magnoliopsida; Poales; Poaceae
Description: partial small subunit ribosomal RNA
Source: RNAcentral